AGGGAAAUUUGAAAAACUGAAAACAAUAAACAAAAAAACUCUUAAAAGGAAUCGAACUGAAUUCACAAUUCGAACCUCCUGUCUUUCAAGUUUGAACCCAAGAAAGAUUUCGAUGAGGAAGAAAAAAUAAUCGAAGGAAGAAAGAGGAAAAGUGAGAAAAAAGGCAAAAUUCUCGAUUCCAUAUACAGGGGAAAGUGACACCUGUGGUUUUUGUGGGUUGCCAAAAAUGCACAAAAAUUCAAGUUCUCCUCUCUAAUCGCCUUCCAUCUGCCAGAUACCUUUCCCAUAACAGUAACCCAAAUCGGCCCUCGUUAACAUUAACAUUACCAUUCACAUUACAUGCCAUUCAACCGCAAACCCGAUGCAUCAUCUUGUUCGAAAUGCCUCGACGUUUUCAAUCUUUAUAACAAUGAACAGCACCUCCUGAUAUUAUUGGGUUUCGCUAGAAUCGCUGUUUAACAUCUGGGUUUUGUGUAAAACUUCUGGGUAUUUGACAAUGGAGGAUGGAGAGUACUCGAAGGAGUUGGAUAUUGCGGUUCGUGUUGUUCAUUUGUCUUGUGCUCUUUGCCGUAGAGUUCAAGAGGGUUUGCUUGAAAACGGCAAUGCUCAGGUUAAGGCCAAGGAUGAUGAUUCUCCGGUGACAAUUGCCGAUUGGAGUGUACAAGCAACUGUUAGUUGGAUCCUUUCUGAAUACUUUGGAAGCAAAAACGUAUCCAUUGUUGCUGAAGAGGAUGUACAAACUCUUUCUACACCAGAUUCGGUAGGUCUGUUGUCAGCUGUGGUAAAAACUGUAAAUGAGUGCUUGGCUGAAGCACCAAAGUACGGUCUUCAAAGUCCAGCCAGAGAACUUGGAACUUGGGAAAUUCUCGAGGCUAUAAGUCGGUGUAAUUCAACUGGUGGCCCCACAGGAAGACAUUGGGUGCUUGACCCUGUUGAUGGAACCUUAGGUUUUGUUCGUGGGGAUCAAUAUGCUGUUGCUUUGGCUUUGAUUGAAAAUGGUAAAGUAAUUCUUGGAGUUCUUGGUUGUCCAAAUUAUCCGUUGAAGAAGGAAUGUUUUCACUACCACUAUAAGGUAUCGACGCCAAAGUUAUUAUUACAACCGUGUUCUGAUACCUUGGAAAAAGGUUGCGUCAUUUAUGCAAAGAAAAGCUGUAAUGGGGCAUGGAUGCAGCCAUUAGUCCAUGGUGAUAAGAAGCUUGAGUGGCCAAAUUCAGCUAGCCUUAUUCAGGUAUCUUCAAUCGAUGAUCCAGCCCAUGCAACUUUCUGUGAACCUGUGGAGAAGCGGAACUCAAACCACUCAUUCACUGCAGGGCUGGCUCAUAGUGUAGGGCUUAGGAAGCAGCCGUUGCGAGUCUAUAGUAUGGUGAAGUAUGCUGCCAUUGCUCGUGGCGAUGCUGAGAUUUUUAUGAAGUUUGCAAGGACCGGAUACCGAGAGAAGAUAUGGGACCAUGCUGCUGGUGUUAUCAUUGUAGAAGCAGCGGGAGGUGUGGUAACAGAUGCCGGAGGUCGUCCCUUGGAUUUCUCAAAGGGAGUGUACUUAGAAGGUCUCGAUCGGGGAAUAAUUGUUUGUUCGGGGCCAAUCUUACACGAAAAAAUCAUUGGAGCAGUCUAUGCCAGUUGGGAUUCUUCCAAUCUAUAAAAUCUUUUGCCAACACAUGAUUGCGUCCACUGACUAGUGUUCGUGAGCAAGCAAAAGGGUCAUCGUAGCCAUUAGAAAGAAACAAAGCAGAAUGGUUUGGAAAUGCAUCAGAAAGAUUCUCAUCCAAAACUCCUUUCUCCAGCUGAAAAACCAAAAUCAACUCAGGUUUCUUCAUUUAGAAACAUCCAAUUUUUUUGGAUGAUCUUUUUCUUUAGAUCAGGUGUUUUUUAAGUUCUCAUCCUUUUAAUUUUAUUUAAUUAACAAAAAAAAGUAGUUUACCAAUUAAACAUCCACUUCCCUUUUCAUGUGAAACAAAUACCUAAACACCUUAUGGUUAAUUAUCUCAACUAGACUAAUAAAUACACUAACUUAUUGUCAUGUAAAUAGAAAAGGAAGAAUUCCCCUAUAUUCGGUUGAAA
Molecule: RNA transcript, 2058 nt
Organism: Cucumis melo (muskmelon)
Lineage: Eukaryota; Viridiplantae; Streptophyta; Magnoliopsida; Cucurbitales; Cucurbitaceae
Gene name: PAP-specific phosphatase HAL2-like
Exons: 4
Source: RefSeq, a predicted model, not a curated record